AACGAACGCUGGCGGCAUGCCUAACACAUGCAAGUCGAACGAGAUCCUUCGGGGUCUAGUGGCGCACGGGUGCGUAACGCGUGGGAAUCUGCCCUUAGGUUCGGAAUAACAGUUAGAAAUGACUGCUAAUACCGGAUGAUGACGUUAAGUCCAAAGAUUUAUCGCCUGAGGAUGAGCCCGCGUAGGAUUAGCUAGUUGGUGUGGUAAAGGCGCACCAAGGCGACGAUCCUUAGCUGGUCUGAGAGGAUGAUCAGCCACACUGGGACUGAGACACGGCCCAGACUCCUACGGGAGGCAGCAGUGGGGAAUAUUGGACAAUGGGCGCAAGCCUGAUCCAGCAAUGCCGCGUGAGUGAUGAAGGCCUUAGGGUUGUAAAGCUCUUUUACCCGGGAUGAUAACGACAGUACCGGGAGAAUAAGCCCCGGCUAACUCCGUG
RNAcentral lists this ribosomal RNA (436 nucleotides) under uncultured bacterium. RNAcentral's name for it is "partial 16S ribosomal RNA". It matches the Rfam family "Bacterial small subunit ribosomal RNA", at positions 29 to 507 of the family's 1533-position model. The record is from RNAcentral.